Small nucleolar RNA from Octodon degus (degu), 204 nucleotides. Its record names the gene SNORA73. It matches the Rfam family "Small nucleolar RNA SNORA73 family". Rfam says of the family: U17 (SNORA73A and SNORA73B) also known as E1 belongs to the H/ACA class of small nucleolar RNAs (snoRNAs). Vertebrate U17 is intron-encoded and ranges in length from 200-230 nucleotides, longer than most snoRNAs. It is one of the most abundant snoRNAs in human cells and is essential for the cleavage of pre-rRNA within the 5' external transcribed spacer (ETS). The record is from Ensembl. NCBI's taxonomy places the organism in Eukaryota, Metazoa, Chordata, Mammalia, Rodentia, Octodontidae.
CCAAUGUGGAUACCUCGGGAGGUCACACUCCUUGGGCUCUGUCCAAGUGGCAUAGGGUAGCAUACAGCUCUGUCAUGUGAUGCACAAUCCCUUUCUACAAUACUGGAGAAAAAAAAUGGCCCCAUGCCUACACCUGCAUAUUCCUACAACUUCUCAGAGUCCUUUGAGCAGUGAGUGAGGAGAUAAACCAUACAGGAAAGAAUG